Molecule: unclassified non-coding RNA, 2810 nt
Filed under: Hevea brasiliensis (rubber tree)
Lineage: Eukaryota; Viridiplantae; Streptophyta; Magnoliopsida; Malpighiales; Euphorbiaceae
Source: RNAcentral
AAAAAAUUGGAACUCACAAGAAUGAAGAAUCUGUAUGAAAGACAGACCACUCUGCACGUUGCAAUAAAAAGGGCAUAAUCCCAAAUUGAAACCUUCAAACAUAAAGAAGCAUCAACAUUAUUUGGUGUCUAUGUUCUGCAAACUGCGAUCCCAUUUAGGAUCAUCGCCAUAAAUAUCACACAUAUUACUGCAUGAGGAUAAAGUGCAUUCACACAAAGCAACUUGACCUAGAGUUAUCGUACAGAUGACACAAAGUGACCAAGAUCACACUCUCUCAUUUAUUAAUGGAAUUGCCCAAAAUCGAACCAGAUGACACAAAGUGAAUUGACCCAGAGUUAUCAUACAGACACUCGAUUUGGUCAGUUUGCAUUCAGCCUGCCAACAUCUUCCUUUGAGCAGAUGAACAUCCUUCGGACCAUACACAGGAAUUCCUGCCAUGGAUAAUCUCCAAUCAGCAUCAUGUCCCCUUCAUCAUCAGUGUAUGUUACCUGCCAUUCCCUGCUCCCAUCAAUCAAGCUUCCCCUGAAGUCGAACAUUUGAUCAAGUUCACGAAUGAGAUCCUCAUAACCAUCAAAUCGAGUGAGGUCAACUGAUCUUCUAACAGCUCCAUAUUUGAGCACCUCUGUGCAAUUCAGAUUGGUGGCAGAACAAUAGUUCUUGCAUUGAUUUUCUGGGCUAAUGCCAGAAGGACUCUUGGAUUGCUCUGAAAUGCUGCAUUGAGACAUUUGAAGAACAGAAUAAAGACUUUCGUGGUCACUAUAAUUGGCAACUUGUGGUGAAGGGAGCUCCGGUGGACUUUUAACUAAAUUGACUCCAAAAAGCAUGUACCUGCCACCACCAUUUGGGGGUGUAUGUGGAAAUUCAGUUGCAUCCUUCAGUUCUGAAGUUCUCAAGUCCUGAGACACAGAAUUGUAAGAGCUGACCUUCAUAACUGACAAGUUUCUGCUUCUCAUGGUGUUUUCAGGGUCUCCAUAAGAGCUGAGUGGAGGGCAACAGCAACUAGGAAGACCCAACCUUGUUAUGUUUCCACCAGGAAAUAAAACAGUACCACUGGGACACGGAUAAUAUGGGCCAUGCACUGAAAAAUGCAGCUGAUUCCCUAAUCCCACUGGUUUGUUGUUCGAAUCAGGAUUUUUUGGAAUCAAAUGUGAUAUUAGUGGUGGUUUAAGUGCACCCAAAUCAUCAACAACCAUGUCCCCCUUUUCUUGACCUUGAAAGACCUCUGACUGAUUUUGGGUUGCAUGCUCAACCGGACCAUGCAAUAAGCCAGCAUCCCUGACCAUGCUAGGAAACAAGCACAAUGAUACAUCCUUUGGACGCAACCUCUUUGAUGGGUGUCGAAGAGAAAUGCACUUUCUUUUUACAGUUUCUAUUGGCUCAAUGUUCCAAGGAGAAACUCUUUCUGGACGUGAAAAUACAUCCGAUUUAGGAUCCCAUUUGACCUUAAGACUUCUCCAUUCUGAAUUAGGCCAUCGAAUGUGAUCAACAACUUCAUUGCCAACAAUUGUGCCUUCAAAUCUCUCAAUCCUCUGUUCUGGACAUUCUUCACCUUCAAACAGCAUUCUGAACCUUGUCCCAACAGAAUAGUCGAUUUCAGCAGACUUCACAUAUUGAUCAAAAGGAAUAAUGAAUUCAUUAGGACUUAUCCAAGGAUGGUAGUACACAGUAAACAUGGUUCCAGUGUUAGUGGCAUGUAAGGCAGUGGCCAAAAUCCCAUGUUGCAUGCUAUGGGCAGAGAUGACUGCCGUUGAUACAUUGUUCUGUAAUUUCAAAGCACGGCGAAUCCCAAUGCGAAGUUCUCCAUGUUCUCCUCUGGAGAAAAUUUACUAUUAUUCCUAAGGAAGAUAAAUGCAUCCCCAGCAACAAGCUUUUUUGACGUCACAAAUGCGCUCCAACCAGUUGUAAGCAAGUGCCUCUUUGGCUGACCCCGAAAAACAUGACGGAAGCACCAUUCUGAACCAUGCAAGUCCCUUGCAAGAAGUUUCUGUUCUGGGGGAUCUUUAGACAUGUCCAUGGGUGGAAGGAACUCCUCAGCAUGUCGCUUUAGAACAGAGAAUCCACCAUGCGUGCUUGUGUCAGAAGAUGUGAGUUUCUUGCUAAAAGAUAGCGCAUAAGUUUUGCGAGGCAAGGGCUGGGAAUUUCCAUCCUCCUCUGAGCUUAGCCAGUCUUGCUUUGCCUCUGGAAGCAAAGUUAUUUGGGCAAACACUUCAUCUGUUGCAGCUUCAGCCUUUAGUUGCACGCAGACAACCUUGCAGAUGAUCAUGGAAGGUAAAUUGUAGAUAGGCAUUUCCAUGAUACCAUCUUGGUUCAUGUAUGCCUCAACCUGUUCCGCGUGACCUUGAGGGAAGUAGACAACCUUCUCCCCAGCGCGGGGUACAUACACAAUGGGACCGGCACACGCGUGCCAUAGUUCGGUAUACAGGUCAUCUUUAUCACCAUGAUGGUUGUUAGGAGGCAAGCUAUCGGCGAUACAGUUUGUAGUCUCAUCACGAACCUCGUUGCUCGACUCCACAACUUCACCAACAACAUUACCCUUAACCAUUUCUAUCUGUCUCUCUGUUUUCCAAUGUGGAUAGGAAAGUAGGAGGAAAACCAAACGCAAGGAAAAGGAAGAAGAGUACAGUCUGCAGCCGCUAGAAGAAGACAAAGAAGGGGCCAGAGAGAGUACUUGACAAGCAGUUGUCCUGAAUCCACCCAAAGAACGUGCAACGUGGCGCGACCUAAAUUUUCACCCACCUCCUCCGCCACUCUCUUUAACAAACUUUAUCAACUAAACAGUAAUGCAAAUGUAACGUUCAAUUAUUAUCCGU